Long non-coding RNA from Chenopodium quinoa (quinoa), 1125 nucleotides. RefSeq lists it as uncharacterized. The transcript has 3 exons. The record is from RefSeq and is a predicted model, not a curated record. Lineage: Eukaryota; Viridiplantae; Streptophyta; Magnoliopsida; Caryophyllales; Amaranthaceae.
UAAUUUUAUUUUAAAACGGAGGGAAUAAUUUUUAACCUAAUGAAGCAUUAAUUAUUUUCCUUUGAAAAAAUUAACAUGAAUCUCAAUUUAAUUUUGCUACUCCUAUCAAUGACCUCAUUUGUGCAUGAUCCAAAGGUAAACAUAAAAGCGGUAAUUUUCAUUGCAAUACAGUUUUACAGAAAACAUGGGGUGAAAAAACCGUCACCAAAUAAAAAGAUGAGAGCCGGUGAAAAAGACAGCGAGAUCGCCGGAAACGAGGGUUCGAACCUUUUCGCCGCCUCUUGCAUUUCUCUGCGGCGUCACUUUCCGAUCGACGCAAACCCUUGUUUUUCACCCUCUUCUUUGCGAGGAAGUGGACGUGCCGGAGUGGUUAUCGGGCAUGACUAGAAAUCAUGUGGGCUUUGCCCGCGCAGGUUCGAAUCCUGCCGUCCACGUUUUUGCUGCUUGAUUAAUUCAAUUUUACUGAAGUGCAUGAUGUUUGUUAGGAUGAUAAUAGAGGAGCUAUACUUUGGAUGAAAGAUUUCAGGUCAUCUGUUGAAGUCAUGGUGGGGGCUCAUACUUAUGAUUGAUCGCCUUUGUGUUGCUAGAAUUACGGGAAUGAACUUUCCAAUAUGAAGUGGACAUGCUGGAGUGGUUAUCGGGCAUGACUUGAAAUCUUGUGGGCUCUGCCCGCACAGGUUCGAGUUGUGCCGUUCACACUUCUUAGUUUGACAUAGCCAUUUGAUUACUGAAUGAUUUGUGAUAGCUGAUUCAAAUUUCAAUGUACUUUCUUUUUAUUCGGUCUCAAAAAUGAAUGAAAAUUGUUGAAGCAGUUUAUUGAUAGGCUGAUACUUGUAAUGUAUGGCUGGGGUAGUUGUUCGGGGUGGUAUGGAAGUGGGAGACAGAUGAAGCACUUUGUAUAAUUUUGAUUCCUCCCACUUCUAUCUUACUGAUUUGAAGUUUGUGUUUCUCUAUCUUACAGACUUCUCCUGCUCCUCAGACUUGUAAUACACUUGAACAUCAUGGCUUGUAUGUUUUCUAGUGGGGUAGAAGAUGCAUAUAUUGGCUGAUUUGGACCUCAUAGUAUUCAUAAUGGAACAUAUGUACAAUUAACACACUUUAUAAAAAGUAUGAGAUAAAAAGUGU